This is a small nuclear RNA of Vulpes vulpes (red fox), 104 nucleotides long. The record is from Ensembl. Lineage: Eukaryota; Metazoa; Chordata; Mammalia; Carnivora; Canidae.
GUCCUCACUUUGGCAGGACACAGAUGAAAAUUGGAAGGCUACAAAGAUUAGCAUGGCCCCUGCCCAAGGAGAACACCCAAAUUUGUGAAGCCUUCCAGAUUUUC